Salvia miltiorrhiza (redroot sage) is the source of this 724-nucleotide long non-coding RNA. RefSeq lists it as uncharacterized. Lineage: Eukaryota; Viridiplantae; Streptophyta; Magnoliopsida; Lamiales; Lamiaceae. The record is from RefSeq and is a predicted model, not a curated record. The transcript has 4 exons.
GCCGCUCUGCACCCUAGCGCCGCCACACGCUACUUGCUCCAUAUGCCGCCGCUCGCCACUCUGCUCCAUCAGCCGCUGCACGCCUCCGCCAAAAUCGUAUCAUUUUACUUCCAACCCCUCUGUUCCAGACCCGCUACAGGGCGAUUUUCCAGAAGUAAUAGAGGAGUAUUUGGAGUAUAUCAGUUAUGAAAUGUAUCGCCUUUAAUCGCCGUGGAAACUUUCUUGCUGACCCCAUUAAUUUUCGAUAUGUACAGGAAGCUGAAGAAUUCUAACCUCCGGAGUUCGUCGGCGAAAGCUAUGUACACUCCGGAAUUUUAUGCCCCGGAGAGGACCUCACUCCGGGUUCUGCUUUUCUUCAAUUCCGCGGGGCUGCUAGAAAUCCUUAUACCAGAAGCAAGAUUACUGGAGGAUCUUCAAGUGGAUAGGCAGCAGUGGUAGCAGCUGGAUUAUGCCCUCUUGCACUUGGUGUUGAUCGGCAGCAGUGGUAGCAUAGGUAUAAGCUUUCUUAAGCAGUGUAUCUCUGGAGUGGUCUCGAGGGUGGGUCGGCAAUGAUUGUGGUAAUGGCGAGUGAAGGAUGCCCGGGUUAUUAAUAUUUCUUGGCAGACUUCCUUAGUCCUUAGCUUCUUUAACAGAUCUAUUAGUGUUUUUUUGUUAUGUACAUUUGUGUUUUGUGUUGGUAUAUGUCAGUUUUUUUUUGGUGAAAUAUAUGUCGUCUUUUUAUUCU